RNAcentral lists this small nuclear RNA (62 nucleotides) under Otolemur garnettii (small-eared galago). RNAcentral describes it as "U7 small nuclear RNA". It matches the Rfam family "U7 small nuclear RNA". From Rfam's summary of the family: Animal histone pre-mRNAs are spliced by a different mechanism than nuclear pre-mRNAs and self-splicing introns. This processing involves the U7 snRNP, which contains only one RNA species: U7. Lineage: Eukaryota; Metazoa; Chordata; Mammalia; Primates; Galagidae. The record is from Rfam by way of RNAcentral.
AAGUGUUAACUGCUCUUUCAGAGUUUGUCUAGAUGGUUUUUGGUCCUCACUGGAAGACCAAA